RNAcentral lists this long non-coding RNA (537 nucleotides) under Cricetulus griseus (Chinese hamster). Its description in RNAcentral is "lncRNA (ENSCGRG00015036564.1)". Lineage: Eukaryota; Metazoa; Chordata; Mammalia; Rodentia; Cricetidae. The record is from RNAcentral.
GUAACUGCUUCAUCUACCUGCUCUGCCUUGGGCUGGAGAAGAUUUGAAAGAUUCUGCACUUAAGUACCAAGAGCCUUCAUCCAAUAGCUGUUCCAAGAAGAGACAGGCACCCAUAGCAAUACUCAAGAGAACAUGAGUGCUGUAAACUCCUGCACACAUCUUAUUGCUGCAUCAAAGAUGACAGUUGCUUUCCUUUGGCGCUCGUCACCCUUUCCAGUUGGAUGUAGGUGGAAGGAUGUGUUUCUGUAAGUGCUGGGGUGGGUGAGAUGACACUUCAUCAACCUACUUGCUUCCUGGGAUUAUAGUGUUUGAAGAUGUUGAUGAAGAGCUUUCACUAUGUGCCUGGAGGCAAUGGGUCUGGGCGAGGCAUUCCAUGGGUGUUAGCUUACUCAUACCUUAUGGCAUGCCUUCGCUCCCUCAUUCAACAGACAUUCAUCGAAUGCCUGCUAAGUGCCAAGUCUGGUACUAUGUCAGGGCUACAACAGUGGAUGCAGCAGAGACAGUACCUGUCCCUUUCCAAAGCCUCCACCAUCCUCA